Molecule: non-coding RNA, 107 nt
Organism: Thalictrum thalictroides
Lineage: Eukaryota; Viridiplantae; Streptophyta; Magnoliopsida; Ranunculales; Ranunculaceae
Source: the annotation of a GenBank genome assembly
AUUUGAUGAUGCAGACAUUGUAUCUGCAACUCCCCAAAUCUUUCCCAAGCUUCGAAGAAUUCCACCGUAUGCUUCUGUCUGAAAGUCUGGAUCUUGUUUCUCAACUC